GAACGCACCUUGCACCUUUUGGUAUUCCGAAAGGUAUGCCUGUUUGAGUGUCUUGAUAAGUCACUUCAAAGAGUUUCUCUUUGAAUGUGGAUCUGGACGUUGCAAUUACCUGCUCGUCUUAAAUGUGUUAGUCGGUACAACCGUAGCUGAGCGUAAUAAGUUUCGCUUGGCGAAGGGGGCAGCCGGCUUAUAAUCGCCACUUGGUUGGCUCUCGCUGCCUUAGGCGGCUCAUGACUAGACCUCAAAUCAGGUAGGACUACCCGCUGAACUUAAG
This 274-nucleotide unclassified non-coding RNA is filed under the name uncultured fungus. RNAcentral's name for it is "sequence contains 5.8S rRNA gene". The stretch from base 1 to 53 matches the Rfam family "5.8S ribosomal RNA", at positions 102 to 154 of the family's 154-position model. The record is from RNAcentral. Lineage: Eukaryota; Fungi.